AGCAGCCGCCGCGGUAAUACAGAGGGUGCGAGCGUUAAUCGGAUUUACUGGGCGUAAAGCGUGCGCAGGCGGUUAUAUAAGACAGAGGUGAAAUCCCCGGGCUCAACCUGGGAACUGCCUUUGUGACUGCAAGGCUAGAGUACGGCAGAGGGGGAUGGAAUUCCGCGUGUAGCAGUGAAAUGCGUAGAUAUGCGGAGGAACACCGAUGGCGAAGGCAGCCAUCUGGCCUAAUACUGACGCUGAGGUACGAAAGCAUGGGGAGCAAACAGGAUUAGAUACCCGGGUAGUCCCUGUCUCUUAUAC
This 303-nucleotide ribosomal RNA is filed under the name uncultured bacterium. RNAcentral describes it as "partial 16S ribosomal RNA". It matches the Rfam family "Bacterial small subunit ribosomal RNA", at positions 507 to 807 of the family's 1533-position model. The record is from RNAcentral.